CCUACGGGAGGCAGCAGUGGGGAAUAUUGGACAAUGGACCGAGAGUCUGAUCCAGCAAUUCUGUGUGCACGAUGAAGUUUUUCGGAAUGUAAAGUGCUUUCAGUUGGGAAGAAAAAAAUGACGGUACCAACAGAAGAAGUGACGGCUAAAUACGUGCCAGCAGCCGCGGUAAUACGUAUGUCACAAGCGUUAUCCGGAUUUAUUGGGCGUAAAGCGCGUCUAGGCGGCUAUGUAAGUCUGAUGUGAAAAUGCGGGGCUCAACUCCGUAUUGCGUUGGAAACUGUGUAGCUAGAGUAUCGGAGAGGUAAGCGGAACUACAAGUGUAGAGGUGAAAUUCGUAGAUAUUUGUAGGAAUGCCGAUGGGGAAGCCAGCUUACUGGACGAAUACUGACGCUAAAGCGCGAAAGCGUGGGUAGCAAACAGGAUUAGAUACCCUAGUAGUC
Molecule: ribosomal RNA, 443 nt
Filed under: uncultured Fusobacterium sp.
Lineage: Bacteria; Fusobacteriati; Fusobacteriota; Fusobacteriia; Fusobacteriales; Fusobacteriaceae
Description: bacterial SSU rRNA
Rfam family: Bacterial small subunit ribosomal RNA
Source: RNAcentral